This is a long non-coding RNA of Homo sapiens (human), 2713 nucleotides long. The record is from Ensembl. NCBI's taxonomy places the organism in Eukaryota, Metazoa, Chordata, Mammalia, Primates, Hominidae.
GGGGGGUGGUGAAAAGGUGACAGGGAGCUGCCCUCGCUCAAGAGCCGGUGGUUGGGGGUCUGAGAAGAAGUCACCAAUAUGAAGUUAUUCGGCUUCGGGAGCCGCAGGGGCCAGACGGCCCAGGGCUCCAUAGACCACGUCUACACGGGUUCCGGAUACCGAAUCCGGGACUCCGAACUGCAGAAGAUCCACAGGGCAGCUGUCAAAGGCGACGCCGCGGAGGUGGAGCGCUGCCUGGCGCGCAGGAGCGGAGACCUGGACGCCCUGGACAAGCAGCACAGAACUGCUCUACACUUGGCCUGUGCCAGUGGCCAUGUGCAAGUGGUCACUCUCCUGGUUAACAGAAAAUGCCAGAUUGAUGUCUGUGACAAAGAAAACAGAACGCCUUUGAUACAGGCUGUCCAUUGCCAGGAAGAGGCUUGUGCCGUUAUUCUGCUGGAACAUGGCGCCAAUCCAAACCUUAAGGAUAUCUACGGCAACACUGCUCUCCAUUAUGCCGUGUAUAGUGAGAGCACCUCACUGGCAGAAAAACUGCUUUCCCAUGGUGCACAUAUUGAAGCACUGGACAAGGACAAUAAUACCCCACUUUUAUUUGCUAUAAUUUGCAAGAAAGAGAAAAUGGUGGAAUUUUUAUUGAAAAGGAAAGCAAGUUCACAUGCCGUUGAUAGGCUGAGACGGUCAGCUCUCAUGCUUGCUGUAUACUAUGACUCACCAGGUAUUGUCAAUAUCCUUCUUAAGCAAAAUAUUGAUGUCUUCGCUCAAGACAUGUGUGGACGAGAUGCAGAAGAUUAUGCUAUUUCUCAUCAUUUGACAAAAAUUCAACAACAAAUUUUGGAACAUAAAAAGAAGAUACUUAAAAAGGAGAAAUCAGAUGUUGGAAGUUCUGAUGAAUCUGCAGUCAGCAUUUUCCAUGAACUGCGUGUGGAUUCAUUGCCUGCAUCGGAUGACAAAGACUUGAAUGUUGCUACUAAGUGUGUCCCCGAGAAAGUGUCAGAGCCUUUACCUGGAUCUUCGCAUGAAAAAGGAAACAGAAUAGUCAAUGGACAAGGAGAAGGGCCUCCUGCAAAACAUCCUUCCUUGAAGCCUAGCACUGAAGUAGAAGAUCCUGCUGUGAAAGGAGCAGUACAAAGAAAGAAUGUACAGACAUUGAGAGCAGAACAAGCCUUACCAGUGGCUUCAGAGGAAGAGCAAGAAAGGCAUGAAAGAAGUGAAAAGAAGCAACCACAGGUCAAAGAAGGAAAUAAUACAAACAAAAGUGAAAAAAUACAACUUUCAGAAAAUAUAUGUGAUAGUACAUCUUCUGCUGCUGCUGGCAGAUUAACCCAACAAAGAAAGAUUGGGAAAACGUAUCCUCAGCAAUUUCCCAAGAAGCUGAAGGAAGAGCAUGAUAGAUGCACCUUAAAACAAGAAAAUGAAGAAAAAACAAAUGUUAAUAUGCUGUACAAAAAAAAUAGAGAAGAAUUAGAAAGGAAAGAGAAACAAUAUAAGAAAGAAGUUGAAGCAAAACAACUUGAACCAACUGUUCAGUCACUAGAGAUGAAAUCAAAGACUGCAAGAAAUACUCCAAAUCGGGAUUUUCAUAAUCAUGAAGAAAUGAAAGGUCUGAUGGAUGAAAAUUGCAUUUUGAAGGCAGAUAUUGCUAUACUCAGACAGGAAAUAUGUACAAUGAAAAAUGACAACUUGGAAAAAGAAAAUAAAUAUCUUAAGGACAUUAAAAUUGUUAAAGAAACAAAUGCUGCCCUUGAAAAGUAUAUAAAACUCAAUGAGGAAAUGAUAACAGAAACAGCAUUCCGGUAUCAACAAGAGCUUAAUUAUCUCAAGGCUGAGAAUACAAGGCUCAAUGCCGAACUGUUGAAGGAAAAAGAAAGCAAGAAAAGACUGGAAGCUGACAUUGAAUCUUAUCAGUCUAGACUGGCUGCUGCUAUAAGCAAACACAGUGAAAGUGUGAAAACAGAAAGAAACCUAAAACUUGCUUUAGAGAGAACACGAGAUGUUUCUGUACAAGUAGAAAUGAGUUCUGCUAUUUCCAAAGUAAAAGAUGAGAAUGAGUUUCUUACUGAACAACUUUCUGAAACACAAAUUAAAUUCAAUGCCUUAAAAGAUAAGUUCCGUAAGACAAGAGAUAGUCUCAGAAAAAAGUCAUUGGCUUUAGAAACUGUACAAAACGACCUAAGCCAAACACAGCAGCAAACACAGGAAAUGAAAGAGAUGUAUCAAAAUGCAGAAGCUAAAGUGAAUAAUUCCACUGGAAAGUGGAACUGUGUAGAAGAGAGGAUAUGUCACCUCCAACGUGAAAAUGCGUGGCUUGUACAGCAACUAGAUGACGUUCAUCAGAAAGAGGAUCAUAAAGAGAUAGUAACUAAUAUCCAAAGAGGCUUUAUUGAGAGUGGAAAGAAAGACCUCGUGCUAGAAGAGAAAAGUAAGAAGCUAAUGAAUGAAUGUGAUCAUUUAAAAGAAAGUCUCUUUCAGUAUGAGAGAGAGAAAACAGAAGGAGUAGUAAGUAUCAAGGAAGAUAAAUAUUUUCAAACUUCUAGAAAGACAAUUUAAACAUUUGGUUCUGGAUACAUGUUGAACUUAGUUGAAUAUAAAAAUCUAGAUUAAAAGUGUGUUUACCAUACUGUAUAAUUCCAUUUACAUGAAGCAUCCAGAAAAGAUAAAUGUAUAGGGACAAAAAGUAGAUUCAUGUUUGCAAGGGGCUGGGGCUGGAAGCUGG